RNAcentral lists this long non-coding RNA (1337 nucleotides) under Naja naja (Indian cobra). RNAcentral's name for it is "lncRNA (ENSNNAG00000013190.1)". Lineage: Eukaryota; Metazoa; Chordata; Lepidosauria; Squamata; Elapidae. The record is from RNAcentral.
GUAAGUGCCAAAACAAUUCCUACGGAGCUCUUAAGUUCUCCCUACACCCCUGUCGUCGAAUUUCCCCGAAAUCCUGACGCAUCCAAGGAGGGAGGCUUUUUGUGGCAUCCUAAACAGAGGGAUAUUGAAGGGAGCUGAUGCGGCUUUGAUCCUUAGGCUUGUUGUCAAAGCGCUUGGAAAUGAAGAGAGUGUUGGCUACAAUUGACUGUGACAAUUAGGAGAUGGUCAGAGCUCUAGAGUGGAACACUUAAAGGGUUUGCAUUUAAAGCACUCUGAGAGCACUAAUUGUAUAACAUUUUACAAACUGCACAUUCUCUUUCUGGAGAGGUAAUGAAUGAGUGGAAAAGGCUGGAAUUUAUUUGACAUUCUAGGCAGGAGCUUUUUCUGAGUACUUCUUGCUCUGUGUGAAAUUGGGAUGGAAGGGCAUUUUACCUUGUCACCAGAGGUGGUAUUCAGCAGGUUCUGACCAGUUUGGAGAACUGGUAGCAGACAUUCUGAGUAGUUCAGAGAAUUGGCAAAUACCACCUCUUACUGGCCCCACUCCCAUCUAUUCUCUGCCUCCCAAGUGGCAGCUGAUUGGCUGGGUCUUCUUUUGUUGCCCUGCACAGGAGAACGGAGCUGGAAAGCAGAAGCCUUUUUAUCUACCAUUUGGAAGGAAACAGCCCAAAGAACUUUCCGGUUGACAACCAGCUAUUGGUUCAUAGAAUAAUAAGGCUAAAUAUCACUCAAUGAUUGGCUAUUUAUUUAUCCAAUUUCUACAAGGUCCAUCCCAAAAAGCCAGAAGUGAAAUGUCUUCAAGGAAAAGCAAAAAAGGUCUACUUGCCAAUUUAACAAAACACCUUUGGGACAACCAUGACCUGGAUGACCGAGAAUCUCCAUAGAUGACUGAAUGUUAGGUUAUCACUGGAGAAGAGAGUGAAGAAAAAGAAAAAAGAAAAGCAAUAUUUAUAGAAGCGUCUUUGCAACGGUGACAUAGUUAACUCUGUUUCUGUUGUCCCAUACACAUCCCAUUUUAAUCAAGAAAUCCAGUGGGAUAAGGAAUUCUUCCUAAUAUUUUAAAUGCCCAUUAAAUGAUGGCAUAUCUUUUAGCCAGCAAAAAAUUCAUCAAGGAAGUAGACAAAUAAAAAAAAACCAAACAGAUUAAUUUUUACAAGGCAAAGUUUAAGACAUGUAUUGUAUGCCCUUUCUCCUACAGAACAUACCUUAAACUUUAAGAUUUUAAAACAGUGCUUGAGUUUUGCUGCGUUCACACCAGCUGAAAUUAUCCUCCUUUUUGCUGCUAAUUAUUAAUAUGUUCAGUACUGUAAGUGAAAAUAAAAAUAUGUUCCUAAUUAAAG